Molecule: long non-coding RNA, 5932 nt
Organism: Loxodonta africana (African savanna elephant)
Lineage: Eukaryota; Metazoa; Chordata; Mammalia; Proboscidea; Elephantidae
Exons: 2
Source: RefSeq, a predicted model, not a curated record
ACCACGUUGUAUACGUAUGUUUCGUUAUUUUAAGUUAGUAUUCUUACAUAAUACUGUUAGCUGUUACAGCUCUUCUUUAUGUCUAUGAAUUUUAUUUGUAUUUGAUGUGUGUUUCACUGUACUGGGCCCUGUGUUUUGCUCACUUUAUAGCUCCCGCUAUAUAUAUGCAUAGAGAGAACUGGUACGUGGCAAUCCCCUUGGCAGUUUUGAAGUCUAAAAACUUAAAACUAACAAAUAUGCCGGCUGUUUCCAUGGAGCCUCACUCCUUGUUUCUGACCCUAAAUAGGUGGAGCUCUAUCUACCGUUGGAGACAUUGGGAUUCCUGUGUAGAAAUUUUCUUGCAUUGUUUUAAGAUUUGAUUUUAAAGCAACUGAUAACUAAUGAAUAAAUUCUGUUAGAAAUAUUUUCCUUGGGGUUAACGCACUAUGAUAAAAGACAGUACACCUGCUGAUAAGAAAAAUAUUUCUUUUUUUUUUGGUAUAGAUUUGUAUAAUCUGAUGUUUCUGAUAGUUUCUGUAAAUGUGUCAAAUGGUCUCCUUAUUCCUCCUCGUACCCCGGCUCUGAUGACUAAGAGUUUAUUUUCCUAAGACAGUUAAAUACAGUAUUUUUACAUUUCUCCCUCAUGUUAUUUUUCCUUUUAUUUGUUGAGGAAACUUGAUAACUCCACAAAUGAGGGCUUAGCUGAUUUGCCACGUAUUAGGUACAACAAUGGUAUAGAAAUGGUAGUUUAUUAGCACUUACAGAGUGGGUGUCUUCUGGAAGUAAGCACUUUAAGCUGCCAUGCCCUGAGUGCCUUUGGUGACCAACUUUUGAUAACAUGAGAAAAAAGGAAAAGAAUCAAGAACAGCAUCAAAUGCUAGAAAAUAUUCUCUGUAAUGUUCAGUAUGCAUUCACCAUAAUAUUAUGUGUAGUGAGUAUCACAAGACCUUGGGUAUCUUUUAAACGGAUUUUUACAAAUAAGCAUUGUAUAUGUGUGAAUCUAUUAAAACCCUGAGUACAAGAAAGUAGUGCCCCAAGCUAACAAUCAGUCUUCCCAUGCUUUACCCCAACUACUUAUUAGUCAAAUUUCUAUCAGAAGAGAGGUAUAAAUGAAGAAUAAUUGUGUGAUUCACAUAAUGGCCAAUUUUAAAAGGCUCUUUGUGCUGGAAAAUUGAAGGUCAAGGAUAUCACUUGAACUGCUUUUCUCCUCUGCAUGAUUAUUCUUCCUGAGUCCCUUGUCACUCGAGAUACUCAAACAUGUAUUGACCUGCCACUUGAGUAUCAUGGAAGGGGCUCAAGCUUACGGUGAGUGGUUACAGUAGAUAAGCCUUAAAGUCCCUUCCAACUAUGAUUAUCUUCAUAUAUUACCAGCUAAAUCUCAUAUUUUCAGUUUUCAGCGAGGGUUUUAGAAGUGAAAGUCUACUGCUUAGGUUAUUUUAGAAGAGAUUUUCUUUUCCCUUGAGAUUAUAUAUAAUUUUGGUUCAUAAUUAUUGAAGUAUGUCAUUAAGAUAGUGGGUUUAGACAUUUAAGUAUUCUGUUGGGUAUUUGUAAAUAAUUUCUUGUAAACAUUGAUUAGAGAAGUUGAAGAGUUUAGAUGGUACCUUGAUGUGAUUUAACUUAGUUUUCAUGGCUGGUUCUAGAUAUUCAUGAGCCUGUGUUGUACUGAAUGGCAGAAUCAGAAUUUUCAAAUUGGGAAAUAGAAGUGAUGUAUGGACUAAUACAAUGGAGAAAUGUAGGCUAGAGCCAGAUUUUGAAAGACCUUACAUUUAUUUAUUAAUUCAUCAGACAUUUACUGAGUAACCUCUGUGUAGCAGGCAAUGUAGUUAUUCUGUGACUACAGAGGAGGUAGUCUCCGUCUUUAGGGAGCUUACAGUGUAGUUUGAUCAGUAAACGGGAGAUUACAGUGCAGUAGGGUAAGCUCCAUAUUAGGAUACUAGCCAGGUGGGAGAGUGGGGAAAAGGCAUGGAAUUCAGACUGGGGGACAUCCCUUCCCAAAAGAGUGGAAAUGCCAGGCAACUGCUGGGACUUGUGUCCCAACAUGGAGAAAGGUAUGAAAGGAAGAUCAUCUUAAUAUCAAUGGUGGAGCUGCUGGUGGGUUUGAACCACCGAGCUUUCAGUCGGCAGCCGAAUGCUUUAACUACUGUGCCACCAGGGUUUUGCUCAACAAAAGAUGUAAGGAAAUGAAGAGAACCAAUUAGGUAGGAUAAAAUGCUUAAUUUUAAAAGUAAGGAUUUUGAAAUGAUGACGAAACUUCCAAAUGGAAAUGUUCUGGUGAACUGACAGGAAUUGAAGACUGGAUGGACCUCAAAGAUCAAGAACGGGGAAAUUUGGAAUCUGUUGGUGAUACUCGAAGCUGGUAGAAUUGCUGUGCUUUUAGAGAGUGUGGUAGUGGACAUUAGUGAUGGAAGGGACAAAAAUCAGGAGGGGUGGCCAGCUGACAUCACGAGGGAUUAUUUCACAUAAAAAGAUGCUUCAUGGAGUGGAAUUGAUAAUAAAGUUCUUUGUUCUCUUUUGCAUGAAAAGGCAGGUUUUUUCAGUAGGUGUAAGGACAGCAUCUGAUAACAGUCAUGUAUCCAGUUUAAAAAAAAAAAAAAAAUGGAUAGAAUAAAACAUAGCUAUUCAGGGAAACCGUUAUAAUUUUUUGACUAUCACUAAGAAACAGUUACAUAUUUAUUAUAAAUUAUGUUUUUGUUUAUUAAAUAGGAAAAUGCCUCAGAGCCUUGUGAAUGGAAGGCCCUUGGGGGCAAGGCAGGUAACAGCUUUGUAUCUUAGGAUGUAUAAUGCUCAUACUUUUUUUUUUUUUUUAAUAAUUUUUAUUGUGCUUUAAGUGAAAGUUUACAAAUCAAGUCAGUCUCUCACACCAAAACCCAUACACAACUUGCUACAUACUCCCAAUUACUUCCCCUCUCCAUGAGACAGUCCGCUACCUCCUUCCACUCUCUCUUUUCAUGACCAUUUUGCCAGCUUCUAAGCCCCUCUACCCUCACAUCUCCCCUCUAAGCAGGAGAUGCCAACAUUGUCUCAGGUGUCCACCCAAACCAAGUAAUGCUCACACUUUUAACAAAUCUUUUUAAUGUAAAAUCUCAAAUCUCCCAGUUCAAGGAAUAGUAAUAUACAGUCAUAGAUUCAACAUUCAGAAUGAUUGAGUUGUUCAGAAUGAGUGAAUUUAGUAGGAAUCUAAGAUUAGUCAUUUAUUGGUCUGCCAAUAGUUUAUUAGUCCCUUAGUGCUAGUGGUGGUAGAGAAAAGAUUCCUAAAAUUCUUGCCUCCAUAGAAAGAGGCAUUGGCUUCUAAAAUGGCACCGCAACUUCCAUUAAAGAUGGCAACAUAAAGACUUACUAUCUAUUUUAUAUUGCCUAAAAACAUCGAGAAAGAAAAACAUUCAGACUGCCUUUGUUGAAAGUGGGAGAUACCUAUAACCCAGAUCCGCAGUGUAUGAAGAUGGAAAGUGGAUGGAGGAAUGGUAAAUAACUUAGCAGAGGAAGAGACCAAUGAAAAGCUGCCCUCACCCCAACUCUAGGAAGUGUUAGCAACUGGAAAUACAGUUUCUUGAGAAGCAACAGUGAGGAGGGACGGAAAACAGGAAAUUUGUUUUAAUGUCUACGUCAGAAACAACCUCUGGUCCCCACCUCCAUCUGGCUCCGGUCAGGCAACCACCCUUCCCCCACCCCAGCAGGAAAUGGGAGGUGGAGUAGCUCCAGAAAUAGAAUCAGCGAUGCUUUUUACUUGGGGACAAUAGUCCCCAAGGAAGGGAUGAGGCUUGAAACUGAAAAUAGGAGGACUGGAAGAAACCUGCACAAUGAAAGCAACCCUUUUCCUGCCUCAGUCCCAGAGCAUUGGGCAGCAGGUUUAGGUGGGAGAUUAGAGGGUCAUUGAGAACCUGAAUUAUUGCUAAUACAUGUCUUUUCAGUAAUUUGGUUUACGUUUUUCACAAUACUUUCUUACUUCUCAGAAACCUCCAGGUGAGAUGAUGAUGAAGAAGAACUACAUUUAUUCUGUCCCAAGUACUGUACUAGUUUCAUCGUCUCCAUCCCUCAAGGAAAGGAAACUCCUCAGAUGUUCUAAGCAGGUAUCCAAAAAACAAAGAAGGAAGAGGCCAUCGUGAGAAGCGCUAAGUUUCGGUCUCAGCUGGAGGCGGCUUAUAAAGGGAUACUUUACCGAUUGCUAGAAAUUAAAAACAAAAGUUAUUUGUUGACGUGCUUAAUGUCUUAGUGACUUAUUAAUUUAUGUUAAUUUGUAUGUUAUGGCAUCUAUAAUCUCUCCUAGUCUCUAGAAAGAUAUAAAAGAACCAAAUUACUAUGUGUUAAAUUUUUAUAGUUUCCAGACAAGUUAUUUUGUGGCACUUGACAAGAUACGCGUUGGUUUCCUUUCUCAGACCCUCCUCUCAAUUCAAGGGAAGCUCUGGUUUAUAGAGUUUUGGUCUCAAUCAGAAUUACAAAAUUUUGUGUGUUUGGGAAAUAACUUUAUUUUCUCUUGAGGGUUUUCGUUUCCCCUUUCCCUUAAGUAAUGUUCAACUGGGUGCUAGUAUAUCAUUGAAAACUUCGAUGUAGAUUUUUGGAAGUUGUUUUUAUAUUUCAACAAUUGCAACACUGUAGCUUUUAAGAUGCUUCAGCUCCUAGGAUAAUUUUUUUUAAAAAACGCAGAUGUUACAUAAUAAGUUUUAGUUCAAGAGUUGAUGCCAAUAGUUUGUAGAUAACUAUAUGCAAGUUUGUUUUGUUUUAUACAAGUAAAUAGUCUUUAAAGGAAUGUGUUUAAAUUAUAUAAAAGUCCUAACUGUAUUAAAAAUUUAAAUACAAAGAAAAUUCAUAAGAGUUAGAUACAGGUGUUUAUUUUUAUAAUCUUGAGUAAUAUGAAAUUUAGAGGUGCUAAAGGAAAAGAUCAAUAGAAUAUUUCUUUUUGAUCAAAGAUACCAUUAACAAAGUAGAAAGACAAAUGACAGACUGGGAAAAAUGCUUGUAACGAGUCAGGAAGGGUUAAUAUAAAAGCUGUAAAUAAAAAAUAAACAAUUCAGAAGAAAUUUGGGUAAAGAAAAUAAAGUUGGUAAAAGAAGUACAGGUGGCCAACAAACAUAACAAAACUAAAUCGUCUCAAUAAAACUGAAGUUUAAACAAGGUCUAAUAAUUUAUUGGUUAGGUUGUCCAAGAAUGCUGUGUCAGUCAGGGUCUAGUCAGGAAAUCACAUUUCUCUAGGGGCAUCAGACGCAGGACUUGUUAUAGGGAAUCGUUUACCUACAUGUGGGAAGGCUGGAGUGCACAAAGGGAAUGCUGAAGUAACCCAGAAAUUAGAAACUACAUGAAGCAGCUACCACCUCUAGGGUUAGAGAGACAAAAGGGAAGAGGUGGUGUUUACCAAAACCCAGGACUUUGAAUGAGAAGCCAUCAUGGAACUACUGAUAAGUGUCUAAGGGGACUCUGCAGGGCGAGAGUCUGGAGCAUCAAAACCCUGGAGCAUGAAGAAGAGCAAAGUAGGAGGCCUCACACUCCCCGAUCUCAAAACUUACUAUAUAGCCACGGUAGUCAAAACAGUCUGGUACUGGUACAAUGACAGACACAUAGACCAAUGGAAUAGAAUUGAGAACCCGGAAGUCAGUCCAUCCAGCAACGGACAGCUGAUCUUUGACAAAGGGUCGAAGUCCAUUCAGUGGGGAAGAGACGGUUUGUUUAACAAAUGGUGCUGGCAAAACUGGAUAUCUAUUUGCAGAAAAAUGAAAUAGGAUCCAUACGUCACAAAAACUAACCCAAAAUGGAUCAAAGACUUGAAUGUCAAACCUAAAACAAUAAAGUUCCUAAAAGAUAUAAUGACAAAGCUAAGGUUCCUAAUUUAUGGCAUAAAUUGACUAUCGACGUAACUAAAAAUGUACAAACAACAGAAGAUAAGCUAGAUAGCUGGGACCUCCUAAAAAUUAAAUACUUAAUUCAUCAAAAGAAUUCACUAAGAGAGUAAAAAAAAAAGGAA